CAGAAGAAGAGUUGGAGUCAGGAGUUGCCCUAAUCCUCCUUUUACCUGUUAAAAAGAAACGUAGAAGAUGUGGAACAAGAGGAAGGAAAAAGUUUGACAGAGCAGCAGUAAGGUUGUUCCUGCAAAACGAGAGUCAAACGAGACAAAACCACGGCGCUGGAGGCUCCCGUCUCUGAUUCACGUUGUCGUCUUUCAUUGCUCUUUGUGUGGGAGAGAGCGCUGCGACAGAGAGCACACCCAGAGUUUGACAGUUUCAAAGAAAAGAUCCACCCUCGGCUUGUCAGCCGCUGUUUGAUCUCAUCAGUCGCUGAUGUUCGGUUUGAUGGGAAAGUGUUCUGGUGGAGCCAAGUUUUGUGUUUUUGUUAUUCCAGCAGUGAUUGUUGGAAGUGUUGUCUAUAUUUAACCAGUCAUGUAGGAAGAGAGGCAGCUAAAAAAUAAAUGUAACAGCUGUUUGUGUGUCUAUAUUCUGCUUUUCCACUUAGAUGAAACUUACAUUUUAUAUACUAAGAACUCAGCUUAAAGGGUUCUAAUGUAAUUUUUUUUGAAAAUGUGUUUUGUGGUCAG
Long non-coding RNA from Xiphophorus maculatus (southern platyfish), 564 nucleotides. RefSeq lists it as uncharacterized. The transcript has 3 exons. The record is from RefSeq and is a predicted model, not a curated record. NCBI's taxonomy places the organism in Eukaryota, Metazoa, Chordata, Actinopteri, Cyprinodontiformes, Poeciliidae.